CGUCGCGCUGGCGUACGCGCUGCCGCUCGGCGCGAUCGUCGCCGACAGCGGCCUGUUCGGUCCGGGCGGUGACGCC
RNAcentral lists this transfer RNA (76 nucleotides) under Halobellus salinus. Its description in RNAcentral is "tRNA-Asp". The record is from RNAcentral. Lineage: Archaea; Methanobacteriati; Methanobacteriota; Halobacteria; Halobacteriales; Haloferacaceae.